This 76-nucleotide transfer RNA is filed under the name Erythrobacter sp. RNAcentral's name for it is "tRNA-Ala". It matches the Rfam family "tRNA". From Rfam's summary of the family: Transfer RNA (tRNA) molecules are approximately 80 nucleotides in length. Their secondary structure includes four short double-helical elements and three loops (D, anti-codon, and T loops). Further hydrogen bonds mediate the characteristic L-shaped molecular structure. tRNAs have two regions of fundamental functional importance: the anti-codon, which is responsible for specific mRNA codon recognition, and the 3' end, to which the tRNAs corresponding amino acid is attached (by aminoacyl-tRNA synthetases). tRNAs cope with the degeneracy of the genetic code in two manners: having more than one tRNA (with a specific anti-codon) for a particular amino acid; and 'wobble' base-pairing, i.e. permitting non-standard base-pairing at the 3rd anti-codon position. Lineage: Bacteria; Pseudomonadati; Pseudomonadota; Alphaproteobacteria; Sphingomonadales; Erythrobacteraceae. RNAcentral also lists the same sequence under 37 other names. The record is from RNAcentral.
GGGGCUGUAGCUCAGAUGGGAGAGCGCUGCAAUCGCACUGCAGAGGCCAGCGGUUCGAUUCCGCUCAGCUCCACCA